This 941-nucleotide long non-coding RNA is filed under the name Triticum aestivum (bread wheat). RNAcentral's name for it is "long non-coding RNA (TAES_LNC026835)". The record is from RNAcentral. Lineage: Eukaryota; Viridiplantae; Streptophyta; Magnoliopsida; Poales; Poaceae.
GGGGGGGGAGGGGGUAGUAUGGAAGGGGCCAAGCCUUUGAUCACCAAGUCAACAUCAACUUCCAUAUGACCAAAAUGUGUCGACCAUGUUAUGAACAAAAGUGAUCAGCAGAACAUCAUAUAUCAUCUCGUGGGCUUACUUUCUGCCAUUUGACCCUGAAAAGGAACUCAUAUGUUUGAGAAUCAUAGAAAUACGAUUUUUUUUUCAAAUUUGUGAGUUGUCUACAAUGAGUAGUUGCUAGGAUAUCUGCACAUAACUCUAGAAAAAAUCAUGCCUACAUUUACUACGUGUUCUUGAUUCAUCUGUAGUCCAUUUAAGUACUAAAUGCUCUCAGUUCAUCUAUCUACAGGCCACUAAACUAUUCGGACCUAGCAUAAAUAUUCACAGACCUAGUAUUAAUAUUCACAUCCAUUAGUAUAAGCAAGAACAAUAGAUUCUCAGUGAUUGUGAUCACCAACAGACUGAGAGUACAACAUGCCAUUUUGCCCUCAUUAUCCUUUAUUCCAAGGAAAUAUCAUUUGAUUUUUUUCCUUUUCUAGUACAACUAUGUGGCUAUCGUAACAUGUAACUUCAAAAAUUCAUGUUAAUAAAUUCUGGAUGUGUGAAUAUUGCCUAACAAGAGCAAAAAUCAUCGCCUCAUACAUGACAGCUAGGUAAAUUAGACAGUGAUAGAUGGUUGCCUUCAAUAGAAAAUUAGAGGGGUCGAUCCCACUUGCCUACCAUAUACGUUUCUGCCCUUCUGCUUCCUAAUAUCCUAGGUACAAAGCAGCCAAGCAAACAUCAACUUCCAUAUGACAAAAUGUGUCAACCAUAUUUUGAACAAGAGCGAUCACGAGAACAUCUUGCAUCAACUUUUGAAUUUGCUACUUUUUACCAUGUCCCUGCAAAAGAACUAAUAUGUUUCAGCCAUCUUAGAAAUAGUAGAAUUUUUCAAAUCUGUG